UUGAGAGUGCAGCUCUAAAUGGGUGGUAAACUCCAUCUAAGGUCGCGACCCGCUGGGUGUCGGUCUACGGCCCGGGUGCGGUGUCUGACGCGUCGCCAGUAAAACAGCACGCGUCAAACCCCCGGUCGCCCGGCCGGCUGCCCGGCGGUACACGCAAGGUAUCAGGCCGCAGCUCUCACGGGCGCCUUCCUCUCUGCUCCUCCGGGGAUUUGGGGAUGGUGUCGCGUCGGGUGUGUGUCGAGGCCGUCGCAAGCGCGCGCCACGGUACACGGUGAUCACGGACCUAGCGCCGUCACCGGUCCUGGCCCGCUGUUGGCUCAUACGGUUAACCUUCGACAGGCCCGCAAACGCGCGUCCCUCGUCGCGGGCUCCUCCGGGGGUCUGCGCGCGCGGGGACCGCGAUACCGGUC
Molecule: ribosomal RNA, 410 nt
Filed under: Paratrachymyrmex bugnioni
Lineage: Eukaryota; Metazoa; Arthropoda; Insecta; Hymenoptera; Formicidae
Description: Trachymyrmex bugnioni partial 28S ribosomal RNA
Source: RNAcentral